Molecule: ribosomal RNA, 506 nt
Filed under: uncultured bacterium
Lineage: Bacteria
Description: partial 16S ribosomal RNA
Rfam family: Bacterial small subunit ribosomal RNA
Source: RNAcentral
AUUGAACGCUGGCGGCAGGCCUAACACAUGCAAGUCGGACGGUAGCACAGAGGAGCUUGCUCCUCGGGUGACGAGUGGCGGACGGGUGAGUAAUGUCUGGGGAUCUGCCCGGUAGAGGGGGAUAACCACUGGAAACGGUGGCUAAUACCGCAUAACGUCGCAAGACCAAAGAGGGGGACCUUCGGGCCUCUCACUGUCGGAUGAACCCAGAUGGGAUUAGCUAGUAGGCGGGGUAACGGCCCACCUAGGCGACGAUCCCUAGCUGGUCUGAGAGGAUGACCAGCCACACUGGAACUGAGACACGGUCCAGACUCCUACGGGAGGCAGCAGUGGGGAAUAUUGCACAAUGGGCGCAAGCCUGAUGCAGCCAUGCCGCGUGUAUGAAGAAGGCCUUCGGGUUGUAAAGUACUUUCAGCGGGGAGGAAGGCGAUGUGGUUAAUAACCGCGUCGAUUGACGUUACCCGCAGAAGAAGCACCGGCUAACUCCGUGCCAGCAGCCGCAGUAA